RNAcentral lists this ribosomal RNA (891 nucleotides) under uncultured bacterium. RNAcentral's name for it is "bacterial SSU rRNA". It matches the Rfam family "Bacterial small subunit ribosomal RNA", at positions 8 to 889 of the family's 1533-position model. The record is from RNAcentral.
AGAGUUUGAUCCUGGCUCAGGAUGAACGCUAGCUACAGGCUUAACACAUGCAAGUCGAGGGGAAACGAUAGAGAAAGCUUGCUUUUUCUAGGCGUCGACCGGCGCACGGGUGAGUAACGCGUAUCCAACCUGCCCAUCACUUGGGGAUAACCUUGCGAAAGUAAGACUAAUACCCAAUGACGUCUCUAGAAGACAUCUGAAAGAGAUUAAAGAUUUAUCGGUGAUGGAUGGGGAUGCGUCUGAUUAGCUUGUUGGCGGGGUAACGGCCCACCAAGGCGACGAUCAGUAGGGGUUCUGAGAGGAAGGUCCCCCACAUUGGAACUGAGACACGGUCCAAACUCCUACGGGAGGCAGCAGUGAGGAAUAUUGGUCAAUGGGCGAGAGCCUGAACCAGCCAAGUAGCGUGCAGGAUGACGGCCCUAUGGGUUGUAAACUGCUUUUAUAGGGGAAUAAAGUGAGUCUCGUGAGACUUUUUGCAUGUACCUUAUGAAUAAGGACCGGCUAAUUCCGUGCCAGCAGCCGCGGUAAUACGGAAGGUCCGGGCGUUAUCCGGAUUUAUUGGGUUUAAAGGGAGCGUAGGCCGGAGAUUAAGCGUGUUGUGAAAUGUAGACGCUCAACGUCUGCACUGCAGCGCGAACUGGUUUCCUUGAGUACGCACAAAGUGGGCGGAAUUCGUGGUGUAGCGGUGAAAUGCUUAGAUAUCACGAAGAACUCCGAUUGCGAAGGCAGCUCACUGGAGCGCAACUGACGCUGAAGCUCGAAAGUGCGGGUAUCGAACAGGAUUAGAUACCCUGGUAGUCCGCACGGUAAACGAUGGAUGCCCGCUGUUGGUCUGAAUAGGUCAGCGGCCAAGCGAAAGCAUUAAGCAUCCCACCUGGGGAGUACGCCGGC